This 429-nucleotide ribosomal RNA is filed under the name Actinomycetes bacterium. RNAcentral describes it as "Actinobacteria bacterium partial 16S ribosomal RNA". It matches the Rfam family "Bacterial small subunit ribosomal RNA", at positions 355 to 776 of the family's 1533-position model. The record is from RNAcentral. Lineage: Bacteria; Bacillati; Actinomycetota; Actinomycetes.
UAGGGAAUCUUCCGCAAUGGGCGAAAGCCUGCCGGAGCAACGCCGCGUGAGUGAUGAAGGUCUUCGGAUCGUAAAACUCUGUUAUUAGGGAAGAAUAAAUGUGUAAGUAACUAUGCACGUCUUGACGGUACCUAAUCAGAAAGCCACGGCUAACUACGUGCCAGCAGCCGCGGUAAUACGUAGGUGGCAAGCGUUAUCCGGAAUUAUUGGGCGUAAAGCGCGCGUAGGCGGUUUUUUAAGUCUGAUGUGAAAGCCCACGGCUCAACCGGGGAGGGUCAUUGGAAACUGGAAAACUUGAGUGCAGAAGAGGAAAGUGGAAUUCCAUGUGUAGCGGUGAAAUGCGCAGAGAUAUGGAGAAACACCAGUGGCGAAGGCGACUUUCUGGUCUGUAACUGACGCUGAUGUGCGAAAGCGUGGGGAUCAAACAGG